AUCAAGGCUAUGAAAGGAACAAGUAAUUUUUCCAUCCCUGGUUAAAGAGAACUGUCGGCUGGUGAAAGGCAGUCCAAAUGGAAAAAUGAAUUACAGCCCGGAGCUUUUGCUGAUUAUUUUUAAUUGGCAGCGGUGAUGAGCCGUUAUUUCAUGAGUUGGAGGAACGGUGUUUCCUCAAGCCGGGUGGUACCGCGCGAUCUAUACGCGUCCCUGCA
RNAcentral lists this non-coding RNA (215 nucleotides) under Bacillus sp. (in: firmicutes). RNAcentral's name for it is "Bacillus sp. T-box sequence". It matches the Rfam family "T-box leader". From Rfam's summary of the family: Uncharged tRNA acts as the effector for transcription antitermination of genes in the T-box leader family. T-boxes are found upstream of many aminoacyl-tRNA synthetase genes and some amino acid biosynthetic genes usually in Gram-positive bacteria. The record is from RNAcentral. Lineage: Bacteria; Bacillati; Bacillota; Bacilli; Caryophanales; Bacillaceae. RNAcentral also lists the same sequence under 1 other name.